AAAGAUUUAUCGGAGAAGGAUCAGCCCGCGUAAGAUUAGAUAGUUGGUGGGGUAAUGGCCUACCAAGUCUACGAUCUUUAGCUGGUUUUAGAGGAUGAUCAGCAACACUGGGACUGAGACACGGCCCAGACUCCUACGGGAGGCAGCAGUGGGGAAUCUUAGACAAUGGGCGCAAGCCUGAUCUAGCCAUGCCGCGUGUGUGAUGAAGGCCUUAGGGUCGUAAAGCACUUUCGCCAGGGAUGAUAAUGACAGUACCUGGUAAAGAAACCCCGGCUAACUCCGUGCCAGCAGCCGCGGUAAUACGGAGGGGGUUAGCGUUGUUCGGAAUUACUGGGCGUAAAGCGCACGUAGGCGGAUCAGAAAGUUGGGGGUGAAAUCCCAG
This 382-nucleotide ribosomal RNA is filed under the name Thalassionema nitzschioides. Its description in RNAcentral is "partial Bacterial small subunit ribosomal RNA". It matches the Rfam family "Bacterial small subunit ribosomal RNA", at positions 202 to 605 of the family's 1533-position model. The record is from RNAcentral. Lineage: Eukaryota; Bacillariophyta; Fragilariophyceae; Thalassionematales; Thalassionemataceae.